CGUUGAGGCGGUUUCGUAAGUUGGACGUUAAAGCCCCGAGCUCAACUCGGGGAGGUCGUUCAAUACUGCGAGACUUGAGGACAGCAGAGGGGGGUGGAAUUUCCGGUGUAGUGGUGAAAUGCGUAGAUAUCGGAAGGAACACCAGUGGCGAAGGCGGCCCCCCUGGGCUGUUCCUGACGCUGAAGGCGAAAGCUAGGGGAGCGAACG
RNAcentral lists this ribosomal RNA (207 nucleotides) under uncultured bacterium. RNAcentral describes it as "partial 16S ribosomal RNA". It matches the Rfam family "Bacterial small subunit ribosomal RNA", at positions 568 to 774 of the family's 1533-position model. The record is from RNAcentral.